RNAcentral lists this ribosomal RNA (97 nucleotides) under Protoceratium reticulatum. RNAcentral describes it as "partial 18S ribosomal RNA". It matches the Rfam family "Eukaryotic small subunit ribosomal RNA", at positions 1733 to 1829 of the family's 1831-position model. Lineage: Eukaryota; Dinophyceae; Gonyaulacales; Protoceratiaceae. The record is from RNAcentral.
GCUCUAGAGAUUAAUGUUUUGAUCUGAUGGUACUUAUCACUUAGAGGAAGGAGAAGUCGUAACAAGGUUUCCGUAGGUGAACCUGCGGAAGGAUCAU